RNAcentral lists this transfer RNA (75 nucleotides) under Kibdelosporangium persicum. Its description in RNAcentral is "tRNA-Trp". It matches the Rfam family "tRNA". Rfam says of the family: Transfer RNA (tRNA) molecules are approximately 80 nucleotides in length. Their secondary structure includes four short double-helical elements and three loops (D, anti-codon, and T loops). Further hydrogen bonds mediate the characteristic L-shaped molecular structure. tRNAs have two regions of fundamental functional importance: the anti-codon, which is responsible for specific mRNA codon recognition, and the 3' end, to which the tRNAs corresponding amino acid is attached (by aminoacyl-tRNA synthetases). tRNAs cope with the degeneracy of the genetic code in two manners: having more than one tRNA (with a specific anti-codon) for a particular amino acid; and 'wobble' base-pairing, i.e. permitting non-standard base-pairing at the 3rd anti-codon position. The record is from RNAcentral. Lineage: Bacteria; Bacillati; Actinomycetota; Actinomycetes; Pseudonocardiales; Pseudonocardiaceae.
GAUCGGGUAGCGCAGAGGUCGUCGCGCGCUGACUCCACAUCAGCGAGGACGCUGGUUCGAUUCCAGCCCCGGUCC